Small nuclear RNA from Myotis lucifugus (little brown bat), 147 nucleotides. Its record names the gene U4. It matches the Rfam family "U4 spliceosomal RNA". Rfam says of the family: U4 small nuclear RNA (U4 snRNA) is a component of the major U2-dependent spliceosome. The structure of U4 snRNA from yeast and human has been reported. The record is from Ensembl. NCBI's taxonomy places the organism in Eukaryota, Metazoa, Chordata, Mammalia, Chiroptera, Vespertilionidae.
AGCUUUGUGCAGUGGCACUAUUGUUGGCCAAUGAGGUUUAUCCAAGGCACAAUUAUUGCUAAUUGAAAGAAAAAGAUUUGACAACCGCCAACACAAACAAUAGCUGUCUGGUGUGAAUGAAUCAAAAUGACACCAACUUUCUUGUCA